Molecule: ribosomal RNA, 128 nt
Filed under: Cephalotus follicularis
Lineage: Eukaryota; Viridiplantae; Streptophyta; Magnoliopsida; Oxalidales; Cephalotaceae
Source: RNAcentral
GGGUGCGAUCAUACCAGCACUAAUGCACCGGAUCCCAUCAGAACUCCCCAGUUAAGCGUGCUUGGGCGAGAAUAGUUCUAAGAUGGGCUUGUCUUAUGACUUUCCUGGAAACAGGAUAGUGGCUUGAC